This 74-nucleotide transfer RNA is filed under the name Escherichia coli. RNAcentral describes it as "tRNA-Arg". It matches the Rfam family "tRNA". From Rfam's summary of the family: Transfer RNA (tRNA) molecules are approximately 80 nucleotides in length. Their secondary structure includes four short double-helical elements and three loops (D, anti-codon, and T loops). The record is from RNAcentral. Lineage: Bacteria; Pseudomonadati; Pseudomonadota; Gammaproteobacteria; Enterobacterales; Enterobacteriaceae. RNAcentral also lists the same sequence under 1 other name.
GAUGGUGUAGCUCAGUAGGAUAGAGCAGCAGCCUUCUAAGCUGUCGGUCGGUGGUUCGAAUCCACCCACCAUCG